CUGGCCGAGAUGGUGGCGGGGGUGAUCGUGAAGUGUACGUACGGGCAACGGCAUCGGCUUUAUUCGGCUCAGCGGCGCGUGGGUGUUGUUUACAGUGCCUCGUGUGUCCCAUGGCUCUCUAAACUUUGCUGGCCCGCCUCCCCUGGCUCCUGCUGACGAUACACUGGUAUUGAGGAGUGCCAAACUUUGCCGUCACAAUGUACCUCUACAACCUGACCCUGCAGCGUGCCUCGGGGAUCACUCAUGCUGUCCACGGCAACUUCUCUGGUGCCAGGACACAGGAGCUGGUGGUGUCCCGUGGCCGCUCACUGGAACUGUUGCGCCCGGACCCCAACACUGGCAAGGUCCAUACCAUCCUUACCACGGACAUAUUUGGAGUCAUACGCUCCCUUAUGGCCUUCAGGCUCACCGGAGGCAACAAAGAUUAUGUAGUUGUUGGUUCAGACUCGGGCAGAAUUACAAUCCUUGAAUAUAAUCAGUCCAAGAACCAGUUUGAGCGCAUCCAUAUGGAGACGUUUGGCAAGAGUGGGUGUCGUCGCAUCGUGCCUGGCCAGUAUCUUGCCAUUGAUCCCAAGGGCCGUGCUGUUAUGAUUGGGGCUGUAGAGAAGCAGAAGCUAGUGUACAUCCUGAAUCGUGAUGCAGCUGCCAGACUCACUAUCUCGUCUCCUCUAGAGGCCCACAAGUCCAACACACUUGUAUAUCACAUGGUUGGAGUGGAUGUGGGCUUUGAAAACCCUCUCUUUGCCUGCUUGGAGAUUGACUAUGAGGAAGCUGACACAGACCCAACAGGAGAAGCCGUCCAUCGCACUCAACAGACUUUAACUUUCUAUGAGCUGGACCUCGGACUCAACCAUGUGGUCAGGAAGUAUCAUGAACCAUUGGAGGAACAUGCCAACUUCCUUAUAUCUGUACCAGGUGGCAACGAUGGUCCCUCCGGUGUCUUGGUCUGCUCAGAGAAUUACAUCACCUACAAAAAUCUUGGUGACCAGCCUGACAUUCGCUGCCCCAUCCCCAGACGCAGGAAUGACUUGGAUGAUCCUGAGAGAGGAAUGAUCUUCAUCUGUGCCGCCACACACAAGACUCGCUCCAUGUUCUUCUUCCUCGCCCAGACAGAACAGGGUGAUAUCUUUAAGAUCACCUUAGAGACAGAUGAAGAUGUGGUGACUGAGAUCAAGCUGAAGUACUUUGACACUGUUCCACCGGCCACUGCUAUGUGUGUGCUCAAGACAGGCUUUCUCUUUGUUGCCUCAGAGUUUGCCAACCAUUAUCUAUACCAGAUUGCACACUUGGGAGAUGACGAUGAUGAACCGGAAUUCUCAUCAGCAAUGCCCUUGGAGGAGGGUGACACUUUCUUCUAUGCUCCCCGUCCACUGCAGAACCUGGUGUUGGUGGAUGAGCUGGACUCACUGUCUCCCAUCAUGGCCUGCCAGAUUGCUGACUUGGCCAAUGAGGACACACCACAGCUGUACACUGCCUGUGGUCGUGGGCCGAGGUCUUCCCUACGAGUGCUGCGUCACGGACUGGAGGUUAGCGAGAUGGCUGUGUCUGAACUGCCCGGCAACCCCACUGCUGUGUGGACUGUGAGGAAGAGGAGUGAAGAUCGCUUUGACUCUUACAUCAUGGUGUCUUUCGUCAAUGCCACUCUUGUGCUGAGCAUCGGAGAGACGGUAGAGGAAGUGACGGACUCAGGCUUUCUGGGUACCACGCCCACAUUGGCUUGUUCCCAGCUGGGUGAUGAUGCUCUGGUGCAGGUUUACCCGGAUGGCAUCAGGCAUAUCCGAGCCGACCGUCGAGUGAAUGAGUGGAAGGCUCCCGGCAAGAAGACCAUCGUUCGCUGUGCCCUCAAUCAACGGCAAGUAGUCAUUGCACUCACUGGAGGAGAGAUUGUGUACUUUGAAAUGGACCCGACAGGACAGUUGAAUGAGUAUACAGAACGGAAGGAGAUGAAAAGUGACGUCAUCUGUAUGGGUGUGGGUCGCGUCUCGGCUGGAGAGCAGCGGUCAAGGUUCUUGGCUGUUGGACUGUCAGACAACACUGUUAGGAUCAUCAGUCUGGACCCAAAUGACUGCUUGACUUUGCUGGGCAUGCAAGCAUUGCCAGCUCUGCCUGAGUCACUUUGCAUCAUUGAAAUGGGUGGCCAGGAGUCGGUUGAUGGUGAACCUCGUACUCUAGGAUCACUCUAUCUCAACAUUGGCCUGCAGAAUGGUGUGUUGCUUCGAACGGUCCUGGAUGGCGUGACGGGUGACAUGUCGGACACCCGUACUCGAUACCUUGGCUCACGGCCGGUCAAGCUCUUCCGAAUCAUCAUGCAGGGCAAUGAGAGUGUCCUGGCAAUGUCAUCUCGGUCGUGGCUCAGCUAUUACUAUCAGAACCGUUUCCAUCUCACUCCUCUGUCAUAUGAGAGUCUGGAGUAUGCGGCAGGCUUCUCCUCAGAGCAGUGUCCUGAAGGCAUUGUUGCUAUCUCAACUAACACCCUCAGAAUUUUGGCUCUGGAGAAGCUGGGAGCUGUCUUCAAUCAGGUGUCUCAUCCUUUAGAAUACACACCUCGCAAGUUUGUGAUCCACCCAGAGAGUGGACACCUGUUACUCAUAGAGACAGACCACAAUGCCUACACAGAGGACACCAAACGACAGAGGAAGAUGCAGAUGGCAGAGGAAUUGAGAGAAGCAGCUGGAGAGGAGGAGGCUGAGGUGGCUGAGAGGAUGGCUGAGGCACUGCUGUCUGAGGACCUCCCUGAUGCAGUGUUUGGUGCGGCCAAGGCUGGACCAGGCAUGUGGGCAUCCUUGGUGAGGGUGAUUGAGCCCAUCCAAGGCAAGACACUUCACACCAUUCACCUGGAGCAGAAUGAGGCAGCCUUCAGCAUUGGCCUGGUUAAAUUUGCCAACCAGCCUGACAUGGACCAGCAGUUCCUCCUGGUUGGGACAGCACGAGACUAUCAGUUGAGUCCCCGGCAUGUUGAGUGUGGCUACAUAUAUUGCUACAGGGUGGCAGCAGACUGCACAUCGCUGGAGCUGGUUCACCGCACAGAGGUGGAAGACAUUCCCACCUCCAUCUGUGCCCACAGUGGCCGUGUGCUGAUUGGUGUGGGCCGACUCCUCAGGAUUUAUGACCUAGGAAAGAAAAAACUAUUGAGGAAAUGUGAGAAUAAGCACAUUCCAAACCUCAUAGUGGACAUCAAGGCACGAGGACAGAGGGUGUAUGUGACGGACGUACAGGAGAGCCUGUUUGUGCUUCGCUACAGACGCCAUGAGAACCAGCUCAUCAUAUUUGCAGAUGACACAAACCAGCGAUGGGUGACAACAUCUUGUCUCCUUGACUAUGAUACAGCUGCUCUCGCUGAUAAGUUUGGCAAUGUGGCUGUGGUCCGUCUGGGUAAUGAUGUCAAUGAUGACGUGGAUGAAGACCCAACAGGCAACAAGGCACUGUGGGACCGAGGGCUGCUGAAUGGAGCGUCACAGAAGGCAGAGGUGGUGGCCAACUUCCACGUGGGAGAAACCAUCAACACUUUAGAGAAAGCCACACUCAUUCCGGGAGGCAGCGAGUCCCUUGUGUACACCACACUGAGUGGCACAGUUGGUGUCUUGGUUCCAUUCACAUCACGGGAGGAUCAUGAACUUUUCCAGAACCUUGAGAUGCACAUGAGAUCUGAACAUCCUCCUCUGUGUGGCCGGGAUCACCUCUCCUUCAGGUCUUACUUCUUCCCUGUUAAGAAUGUGAUUGAUGGUGACCUGUGUGAGCAGUUCAACAUGGUUGACUCAGUCAAACAACGGUCCAUUGCUGAAGACUUAGACAAAACUCCCAAUGAACUUUCCAAGCGACUGGAAGAUAUCAGGACCAGAUAUGCCUUCUAAGGUGGAAGGUUGUGCAACGUCUCUUACACCGCCCUCCUUGCCUUGAUGUUUUGGUGUUGGCGGUGUUAGCAGCAACAGCGGCAGCAGCAGCGGUGGUGGUGGCCAGCCACAAACUGGCUCAGAGUGGGCUGGUCAUAUUCGGUCCCAUGGUAUCGGGGGCGUUUUUCGUUAAGUAUUUCUCCAGCUUAGCGAGAAUGUGCUUCCCUGUUUGGGGAGGAAAGCAUACGUAAAAGGGACUGCAGUGACAACAUUCUACAAUAAUCUAACAGAAAUGGAUGUGAGCAAAUGAUCAAGUACAGAGUUAAUCCAGCGAGAGAAACGUGUGGAAGUGACAUUCAGUAACAAGCGACAACAAUAAUCCAAUUGAAAACAAGCACAAAUGAAAGAUGGAGUAGAAGAAUAAUACAAGUGAGAACAAAUCAGGACCGUACCGUAAGUGUACUUGCGAAGUGUUGAGAUGUGGGGUCGUAUCUUGUGCAUGAGCAUCUUGCGCUGUGCUGGCUCGGCUACGUCAAUCAUCUUCUGCACUACAUAGUUGGCAUACUGAUCCUUCAUCAGCACUAACAGGGAGCUGUGGGCACUGUCACUAUACCCACACACCUACAGAAAACAACCAACAAUAUGUGUCAAUUGUCAUAGGGGUGGACACAUACUGAAUUUAAUUGAGCAACAUUUCUGUAUUGCUGACUGAAUGUACUUUUCCUCAUUGUUGAAAUAAAGCACAUGUGUAUUUAUAUGAGAGAGAGAGAGAGAGAGAGAGAGAGAGAGAGAGAGAGAGAGAGAGAGAGAGAGAGAGAGAGAGAGAGAGAGAGAGAGAGAGAGAGAGAGAUUCCUAUCUUUUGAGCUCAUGAGUCUGUUAAAUUAGAGACAGACACACUAGUACAGGGAACAAAUAAUACUAAUAGGAGGACAGAUACACAACACACAAAGUAUUUAAUUCCUGACCUCCUCAAUCAGCAUGGCCCGCUCUGCACGUGUGGCAUGAGUGACACAUUUCUCUACAACAUUGGAGGCAAACUUGUGUUGAGAAAGUUUCAGCACUCCUCCUCUCACCACACCGACAAUCUUACUCUUGUCCUCUGGUUUUCCAUGUUCUGUAACACAUGCAGAGAAAAAUAAAAGCUACAAAUCAA
This 4984-nucleotide unclassified non-coding RNA is filed under the name Portunus trituberculatus (swimming crab). RNAcentral's name for it is "splicing factor 3B subunit 3-like, transcript variant X2". The record is from RNAcentral. Lineage: Eukaryota; Metazoa; Arthropoda; Malacostraca; Decapoda; Portunidae.